GUACUGCUGAAGAGUCCCAAGCUAGGAUGUAACACUUGUCCAGUAC
This 46-nucleotide non-coding RNA is filed under the name Trichobilharzia regenti. Lineage: Eukaryota; Metazoa; Platyhelminthes; Trematoda; Strigeidida; Schistosomatidae. The record is from RNAcentral.